CAUUCACUGAUCAACGGUGCGUAUGCCUUAAGAAUAUUUUUUUAUGCUUUUAUUAAGCAAUAAUAUUAUCCUUAAAUAAGCAUAGUAGGAUAUAAGAAAAUACGUAUUCCUAAAAGAUUUUAUUAACAAAAUUAAAGUAACCUCUAUUUUGAAUUAUAAAAAUUCCCACCAAAAUCCCUUGAAUCCUCCUCCUUUUUUUACUUCGGAAGAUUGAUGAAGCAUGUAAUAAAUAGAUGAAGGACAUGACUAUAUGCAGAUGCAAAAAUUUAACUAACGUAUAUUUUUCUACUUUUUCCCUCUUAGUAAACUACUAGGUGUAUCACAUUUCCAUGAGUGAUAAUCGCAUGGCUAGUUCAAUCUGCUCUUGUUCGUUCAGUUCAGCAACAUUCGCUUGUUCUUGCGGUGGCUCAUGAUUUGAACUUAAAGCAUUUAAUGACGAUGUAGCUUGUUCAUCGUUUUCUUUAAAAUCUUCUUCUAUUUUAUCAACAUCCAUGGAGAGCUGAACCAUUCUCUUAGCUUCCUCUUCUUGUGAAAGCAUGGUAACAUAUGCUAUGAUUUCUUCUUCACUUAAACCAACCAAGCCCUCACCAAAAUGCUGUUCAAAUUUUUGCCGGGCUUCCAUUUUUUCUCGUCUUUCCUGAGCAAUUUGGUCCAAACCUAACAUGAUUUCUCUUUCGACUUCAUUUUUUGAGUAGUCAGACGACUUCGACAGAUUAUCGUGUGUCACCGAAGGUCUCAAGGGUAAAACCUUGGACCUUUUAUUAACAAAAGGUUUGGGAAUUGUAUAAGACCAAGAUUUGACAUGCUUGCUCAUGGUGAUCACACCUUUCAAACUUAACGGAUUUGAGUCAAGCAGUAUGCAAUUAAUUGGUUCUCUUCUAGCAGCAUUCCUGGCACUCGCUAUUUUUUUCAAAAAAUUCCCAGUAACGGUAUCGUAUACUCCGCAAUAGCCGCUAGCCGACCCUACUACCAUUGCAACUUCAUUCAAGUAAAUAUCGGUAAUAGGAAAAUUUGAGUAUGCAGUAAUAGUUCUAAGAAUGGCCUUGUUAGGAUCUUCAGUGCGAGUGUUUACAACAUAAACCAAACCAUUUUCAUCACCAACAGCGAGCAGUCUUGCUCCUCUACCAGGAGUUGAUUUUGACAACACACGAUCGUUCGUAUCUAAGGAGAUUGAGGUUGGUUUUCCGUUGAGAGGAAUUGAAGAUGUUUGAACGCCGACAUUAUCGUUUUUCUCCAAAAAUUCUUUAAAUGAAACUCGACAAAUACAAUUUUUCGGUGCGCCCCUGGACAAGAAGGCAACACCGGCACAGCAAUCUGCCGUCAUCAGACAAGGAGGUUCCUCUUCAUCAGUUAACACACAUUUUCUGGACGAUAAAAGUAUAGGCUGCUCAUUCUUUCGGGAGCGAGCAUAGCCCGGUAUUAAGUAUAAUUGAUAUGAGUUAAGUUCAUAAUUAAAAGUGUCAACGAGUAGCAUUUUGUAUUUCGGCCUGAAACACAAAGAAAGGAUUUGUGAAGAACGGAAUUGAAAUGAUUGAAGACUAACACCUGUUUUAACAUCCCAGCAAUGCACGGAUCCAUCAUCUGAUCCAGUAACCAUACCGAUUUCCCCAGUGGGGGGCAAAUCACCGGUUAAUGCAUCAAUGCAUGUAACUGAAUCAGCAUGGGAAUCCAGACAAUAACGAAAUUUUCGAGGAGUCUCGGCUUGACGUGACAUCAAAAUAACUCCAACGCGACCAUCCAUAAAACCAAAGCCAAAAAUUUGUUUCCCCAAUGUCAUUGUAGAUAAUCCAUGCGUAAAGCUGCCAUCAGUACUAGCAUGUAAUAAAGACCUCUCAACCUUUCCAGUGGUAGGGUCGGAAACGGAGAUUGUUCCAGUAAGCCAAUUUCCUGAAUAAAGCCUUCCUGAAGAAAAGUCGUAAUAAAGGUUGGUCAAUUGUCCAACGCGACAAUCAUACUGAACUGUUUGCCCUUUCCCUUUUUCAUAAGCUCUAGUAAUGGUAGAACGUAAAAGAUAUUCUUGCCGCCAUGUUCCAUUACCUAGUGGACUAAAUAUUUGCGACUGAUCACCCGCAAAGUGAUGAAAAAAAGCAGUACGCCAACUUAAAUCAUCGGAUAAUAACUUUUUCCAAUAUUUGCAAGUGCAUUGAGCAGAAAGUAAAGAGCGAGGAUCAAGAAACGAAAAUAUAAUGAUCAAAAUUUCUAGAAAAAGUUAACAAAAUCUCGAAAACUAAAAUUGAAUGUGUGAGAAUUUACCUUUUGGCAGGUUUAAAACUGUUCUAUUCGUAUUAUUUGAAGAAUGAUCCCGAUUCAUUCUCCUUAGGUUUGAGGAUGUAAAAUCCAAAGAUGUUGGUUCCGAUUUCAUUGGUCUUGGCGUUUUGCCUUAGUAUAUAAAGUGGAACUUACUACGUGUACCAACGUAUCGCUCAGAAAACGUCCUGUAAUCAUUAAUUAACGAGCAUUUUAUAUUCGAAAAUUAAUGUUUGCUUGUAUCUUUUGAUAGAUUAAUUAAAAUGCUUUUAUCU
This 2522-nucleotide long non-coding RNA is filed under the name Schizosaccharomyces pombe (fission yeast). Lineage: Eukaryota; Fungi; Ascomycota; Schizosaccharomycetes; Schizosaccharomycetales; Schizosaccharomycetaceae. The record is from RNAcentral.